CCAAAGAUGAUUUAAUAUCCCGAUCCUUGAGGCAUUGACAGAAAAUAACUCAAUCUCACUAAGCUUCGCUGGCGAGAAAAAUCUCACAGUGGUCCUGCAAACAUAAAUCAAAAGUUCUCAGCAAAUUAUGAAAUAAUAUAUUGAAAUAGAAACAGAAGCUUACUUAGCAAGAUCAACCAAGGGGGUGGAGAUUCAACAUUAUUAUCCAGAAAGCUUGCUCGUUUCAAUAGCUCUCCCUGUCAAGAAUUUACAGUAUGAUAAUGAUAACUACAUUUUUGCUACGCUAUAAUUAAAUGCUGGUUAUCAAUAUGAACAGGAAGACAUUGUUGUAUGAAUCUUAAAUUUAAAUAUGCUAUGACUAUACACGGAGGGGUGGGGCAGCAUCAACAUAGAAAGCUCCAUUUCGGUUGAAANGAACAUAUACAAUUACAUGAUGAAUAAUAUAUGUAAUGAAAUGUGUCACAAACUAUAAUUCUAAAGUUCCCUUCAACACAGCCUUGAGAGUAUGCACCAAGCCAAGCAAAAUGCACUCAUACAAAUCAUCCUUGCACGGAUAAAAAUGAAUUAUAUACCACAAAAUAUGUAACCAUUGCGGCAGAAAUCAUGCUCGGACAUGGAUAAUGAACUACUUUAACCUAAACAGCCUCCAUUGUAAUAAUCACAGAAAUUGAAAGCUAGAAUAAAAGUCCAAACAAACACUAGAGGUCACAAGUUCAGCA
This 719-nucleotide long non-coding RNA is filed under the name Vigna radiata. RNAcentral describes it as "long non-coding RNA (VRAD_LNC018287)". Lineage: Eukaryota; Viridiplantae; Streptophyta; Magnoliopsida; Fabales; Fabaceae. The record is from RNAcentral.